GUAGGGAAUAUUGCGCAAUGGAGGCAACUCUGACGCAGCCAUGCCGCGUGCAGGAAGAAGGCGCUACGCGUUGUAAACUGCUUUUAACCGGGAAGAAACCCCAGGACGUGUCCUGGGUUGACGGUACCGGAGGAAUAAGCACCGGCUAACUUCGUGCCAGCAGCCGCGGUAAUACGAAGGGUGCAAGCGUUAUCCGGAUUCAUUGGGUUUAAAGGGUGCGUAGGCGGAGCGUUAAGUCAGUGGUGAAAUCCUGCAGCUUAACUGUAGACUUGCCAUUGAUACUGGCGCUCUUGAGUGCGCUUGAAGUGGGCGGAAUGUGCCGUGUAGCGGUGAAAUGCUUAGAUAUGGCACAGAACACCAAUUGCGAAGGCAGCUCACUAAGGCGAUACUGACGCUGAGGCACGAAAGCGUGGGGAUCGAACAGGAUUAGAAACCCGGGUAGUCC
RNAcentral lists this ribosomal RNA (445 nucleotides) under uncultured bacterium. RNAcentral's name for it is "bacterial SSU rRNA". It matches the Rfam family "Bacterial small subunit ribosomal RNA", at positions 354 to 796 of the family's 1533-position model. The record is from RNAcentral.